GAACCCAGCAACCCGUGUUCCCACAACCCUCCAGGCGACUAUGAGUGGGAGAACCACUGCUCUAGCCAGGCCGCCUCUGCUGUGAUAGUCUCCCCUAAAGACUUCUCUUAUGCCACUGUGAAUUCGCCCUCACGCGGACUAUCCCAUCUGCCAGAAAUGGCUCUUUCUUUCUGCCUGUUCGACUCCUGCGUGGCCUUCAAGCCCAGAGCCAUUUGCCACCUUCUUCACGCAGCUUCCAUUGAAUCCCCUGUGGGAGGGAAACCCCUCUUCCGGCUCUGCACUCGGAUGGGCCCUUAUCUCUGAGCCAUUUGGCAGUGCAUCCUCUACUGGCUCUGUCCUCUGUGUCUUGUACACGGCAGGCAAUGACUUAGUUUAAGUGAUUCAAGUAGAUUUGCUUUACCCCUAGUGAAUUUAAAAGGCAGCUGAGGAAUUCUCAGACUUUAGCUCCGGUCUCUUCAGACCAGCUAGAGAGCCAUGCGGUUAGUCCUAACUCACCGAUGAAGAUAAUCAGACACUUCGACAGAAAUCCAACCAUGACUUAUCUGCCCUGAGCCGAAGGUUCUUCCAGAGCCAGCUUUUAAGGCGUGUUUACUGAAGACUCAGGAAGUUCUACUGGACAGCACUGCUCUAUAUUCUGCCUGGAGGAUAGACAACAAUGGGUCCCAACUGAAACUGUCACCUAAAUUCAGUACCUAGGAGAAGACAUAGAUAGUUCAUUGGAAACAGUUGAGAUUUUGAAAAAUAGAAAGGUACCAGAAGGUUCUUAUGCUACAUAAUGGUAUAAAGGUGGGGGGUGACCCACUGAGAUUUAACUCUGUUUUGAAUUGUGUUGUUGGUGGUAGUAGUGGUGGUUAUUUAUUUGUUGCUUUAGCAAGAUAGAUGCCAGAGAUUUCCUUGGAUUAUCCUAGGCUCUUAAGAUGACUGAUCAUGGAAGCAGAGAAAGUAUUUCCCAUUAAAAAUAAUGUGGGCCCUUCUCAAAGGCAAGCAAGCUCUGUUUUCUGAUGAAGGCUGUGGGAUGAGCACGCCGUGUCUUGAGAGUUGGGAAAGAAAGGAGGCUGGCCAACGCCUCCCCCAGCCUUCUUGAAUUUCUGAGACUGGAAAGAGUGACAGUAGUUGCAUAUUCUUUGAUGGGCUGACCCUCUAAUCAGAUCAAGCACAGCAUCUCUGGACAGGAGAACUUAGCUGCUUGGGCACUGAGUGAUGUCCAGGGAACCCUGAGAAGGCACCCUGGGUGAAGUGGAGUCACCCACAGAUGUGACCUCCUUUGAAAGCUCAGGAUGACCUGUGGCAGCCAUUGGUUGAGAGUGACUUCCCUGCAGCUCUGGACAGUCAGUUGGACACACAAGAGGGACAGGGUGUGGCAACAAGGAACAGUGACCACCAGACAACAGCAGGCCUUAAGACACAUAAAGUUCUCCCCCGGGUAGAAGAGAAAGUGGAUGGACUUCUUUGUUGGAUGAGAAGCCACCACAGUUUGGGGAUGAGCAAAGGGAUUGAAGGAGCUCCAAGAGAGUAUCGUAGGAUUUUCUUCUGAUCAGACAUGGGGGGAUUUCAGCAAUUUUAAUUUCUAUUGGGAAAAAGGAAAUAGACUUGAUGUUGCUUGUGCUCUCAGUGUGGUGGAGCCAGUGAUACUCAUUUCAUGAAGACAUGGGCAGCUCUGGUCUAACGGCUCACCCCUUAGUGGUUUGUAAAAAUAUCCCACAUUUAGAAAUAUCUAAUUGGCAAGAGACCCUAAUAACUGGUAAUUUAGCAACUGGGGCAUGCCCACCUGCCGGGAAAACGUAAUUCAGAGAUUAAAAUAGAAAAGUUAAUUUUAAAACACUUUUUGACUAAAUAAUAAAAAUUUUAAAGAUAUAUCUAAAUCCCAGUGUUAUUAUUUUUAUUAACAAUUAUUAAACCCAUAAUAGCUCAACAAAUAGCAUAUUUCCAAAUAUUGACUUUUUUGUUUACGAAGUUCUAAAUGAAGUUUUUCAGUUCAUUUAGGCAGGUUUGAUCUGCAGGCAA
Molecule: long non-coding RNA, 2004 nt
Filed under: Equus caballus (horse)
Lineage: Eukaryota; Metazoa; Chordata; Mammalia; Perissodactyla; Equidae
Description: lncRNA (ENSECAG00000044167.1)
Source: RNAcentral